CCGGGGGAACUGAAACAUCUAAGUACCCCGAGGAAAAGAAAUCAACCGAGAUUCCCCCAGUAGCGGCGAGCGAACGGGGAGGAGCCCAGAGCCUGAAUCAGCAUGUGUGUUAGUGGAAGCGUCUGGAAAGGCGCGCGAUACAGGGUGACAGCCCCGUACACAAAAGCGCAUGUGCUGUGAGCUCGAUGAGUAGGGCGGGACACGUGGUAUCCUGUCUGAAUAUGGGGGGACCAUCCUCCAAGGCUAAAUACUCCUGACUGACCGAUAGUGAACCAGUACCGUGAGGGAAAGGCGAAAAGAACCCCGGCGAGGGGAGUGAAAAAGAACCUGAAACCGUGUACGUACAAGCAGUGGGAGCACAGGUUUACCUGUGUGACUGCGUACCUUUUGUAUAAUGGGUCAGCGACUUAUAUUCUGUAGCAAGGUUAACCGAAUAGGGGAGCCGGAGGGAAACCGAGUCUUAAUUGGGCGUUAAGUUGCAGGGUAUAGACCCGAAACCCGGUGAUCUAGCCAUGGGCAGGUUGAAGGUUGGGUAACACUAACUGGAGGACCGAACCGACUAAUGUUGAAAAAUUAGCGGAUGACCUGUGGCU
This 593-nucleotide ribosomal RNA is filed under the name Salmonella enterica subsp. enterica serovar Anatum. Its description in RNAcentral is "partial 23S ribosomal RNA". It matches the Rfam family "Bacterial large subunit ribosomal RNA", at positions 184 to 816 of the family's 2925-position model. Lineage: Bacteria; Pseudomonadati; Pseudomonadota; Gammaproteobacteria; Enterobacterales; Enterobacteriaceae. The record is from RNAcentral.